Molecule: ribosomal RNA, 104 nt
Filed under: Sporomusaceae bacterium
Lineage: Bacteria; Bacillati; Bacillota; Negativicutes; Selenomonadales; Sporomusaceae
Source: RNAcentral
GCUAGGGGGAUCCACCCGUUCCCAUACCGAACACGGCAGUUAAGCCCCUAUACGCCGAAAGUACUUGGCUGGAAACGGCCUGGGAGGAUAGGUAGGCGCCGGUU